AUGGGCUGUCGUCAGCUCGUGUCGUGAGAUGUUGGGUUAAGUCCCGCAACGAGCGCAACCCUUGUCUUUAGUUGCCAGCAUUCAGUUGGGCACUCUAAAGAGACUGCCCGGUGUUAAACCGGAGGAAGGUGGGGAUGACGUCAAGUCCUCAUGGCCUUUAUGCCCAGGGCUACACACGUGCUACAAUGGGCGGUACAAAGGGUCGCGAGCCCGCGAGGGUAAGCUAAUCCCAAAAAGCCGUCCUCAGUUCGGAUCGGAGUCUGCAACUCGACUCCGUGAAGUUGGAAUCGCUAGUAAUCGUGGAUCAGCAUGCCACGGUGAAUACGUUCCCGGGCCUU
This 338-nucleotide ribosomal RNA is filed under the name uncultured Desulfobacca sp. Its description in RNAcentral is "bacterial SSU rRNA". It matches the Rfam family "Bacterial small subunit ribosomal RNA", at positions 1045 to 1382 of the family's 1533-position model. Lineage: Bacteria; Pseudomonadati; Thermodesulfobacteriota; Desulfobaccia; Desulfobaccales; Desulfobaccaceae. The record is from RNAcentral.